RNAcentral lists this ribosomal RNA (253 nucleotides) under uncultured bacterium. RNAcentral describes it as "partial 16S ribosomal RNA". It matches the Rfam family "Bacterial small subunit ribosomal RNA", at positions 524 to 776 of the family's 1533-position model. The record is from RNAcentral.
UACAGAGGGGGCAAGCGUUGUUCGGAUUCACUGGGCGUAAAGGGUGCGCAGGCGGUUGGGUGUGUCAGAUGUGAAAUCCCGAGGCUCAACCUCGGAACUGCGUCUGAAACUACUCGACUAGAGUACUGGAGAGGGUAACGGAAUUCACGGUGUAGCAGUGAAAUGCGUAGAUAUCGUGGGGAACACCAGAGGCGAAGGCGGUUACCUGGACAGUUACUGACGCUCAGGCACGAAAGCAUGGGGAGCAAAAGGG